AGCCACAGCCAUAUCACCCUGCAGCCCAAGACCGGUUACUCACUAAAGCUAAGCAGGGCUGAGCCUGGUUAGUACCUGGAUGGGAGACCACUAGGGAACACUAGGUUGCUGUUGGAA
Molecule: non-coding RNA, 117 nt
Organism: Danio rerio (zebrafish)
Lineage: Eukaryota; Metazoa; Chordata; Actinopteri; Cypriniformes; Danionidae
Source: Rfam